AAGACCUUGCGCUUUUGGAGCGGCCGAUGUCUGAUUAGCUUGUUGGUAAGGUAAAAGCUUACCAAGGCUUCGAUCAGUAGCUGGUCUGAGAGGACGGCCAGCCACACUGGGACUGAGACACGGCCCAGACUCCUACGGGAGGCAGCAGUGGGGAAUUUUGGACAAUGGGGGCAACCCUGAUCCAGCCAUGCCGCGUGAGUGAAGAAGGCCUUCGGGUUGUAAAGCUCUUUCAGCCGGAACGAAACGGUUACGGUUAAUACCCGUGACUACUGACGGUACCGGAAGAAGAAGCACCGGCUAACUACGUGCCAGCAGCCGCGGUAAUACGUAGGGUGCAAGCGUUAAUCGGAAUUACUGGGCGUAAAGCGUGCGCAGGUGGUUUUGUAAGUCAGAUGUGAAMUCCCCGGGCUUAACCUGGGGAACU
Molecule: ribosomal RNA, 424 nt
Filed under: uncultured bacterium
Lineage: Bacteria
Description: bacterial SSU rRNA
Rfam family: Bacterial small subunit ribosomal RNA
Source: RNAcentral